GACGAACGCUGGCGGCGUGCUUAACACAUGCAAGUCGAACGGAAAGGCCCUGCUUUUGUGGGGUGCUCGAGUGGCGAACGGGUGAGUAACACGUGAGUAACCUGCCCUUGACUUUGGGAUAACUUCAGGAAACUGGGGCUAAUACCGGAUAGGAGCUCCUGCUGCAUGGUGGGGGUUGGAAAGUUUCGGCGGUUGGGGAUGGACUCGCGGCUUAUCAGCUUGUUGGUGGGGUAGUGGCUUACCAAGGCUUCGACGGGUAGCUGGGCUGAGAGGGUGAGCAGCAAGAGUGGGACGGAGACACGGCCCAGACUCCGACGGGAGGCAGCAGUGGGGAAUAGGGGACGAUGGGCGAAAGCCGGAGCCAGCAAUGCCGCGUGAGGGAGGAAGGGCUUAGGGUUGUAAAGCUCUGUUACCCGGGAGGAUAAUGACAGUACCGUGAGAAGAAGCUCCGGCUAACUCCGUG
RNAcentral lists this ribosomal RNA (463 nucleotides) under uncultured bacterium. Its description in RNAcentral is "partial 16S ribosomal RNA". It matches the Rfam family "Bacterial small subunit ribosomal RNA", at positions 28 to 507 of the family's 1533-position model. The record is from RNAcentral.